CGCUGACACACAGUUCAAAAGUCAGUCUCUUAACCGCCUUCAUGUUCUAACACCUCAAACUGUAUCUUCUGCUCACAACUUGGGAAACCAGCAAGGCUGCGAACGCUCUGCUCACUUCCUGCCGCUCCAGACAGUUUACAGUCAGUAAGAUAAAAGGCAAUACAGACUUCCUGUCACAUCUUCCAAUAUUCUCAAUAUCAAUCAAUGGGUCUCCUGAAAACUUCACAACUGCUUUAAAGUACAAAGAGUUCUUCUAAAUUCUGCCUGUAACUGUGACUCCAAGCCCGUGGGAUCUUUCUACUCUACUCU
This is a long non-coding RNA of Pseudoliparis swirei, 309 nucleotides long. RefSeq lists it as uncharacterized. The record is from RefSeq and is a predicted model, not a curated record. NCBI's taxonomy places the organism in Eukaryota, Metazoa, Chordata, Actinopteri, Perciformes, Liparidae. The transcript is spliced from 3 exons.